CACCCCGUAAACGUUGGGAACUAGUUGUGGGGUCCUUUCCACGGAUUCCGUGACGCAGCUAACGCAUUAAGUUCCCCGCCUGGGGAGUACGGCCGCAAGGCUAAAACUCAAAGGAAUUGACGGGGACCCGCACAAGCGGCGGAGCAUGCGGAUUAAUUCGAUGCAACGCGAAGAACCUUACCAAGGCUUGACAUACACGAGAACGGGCCAGAAAUGGUCAACUCUUUGGACACUCGUGAACAGGUGG
RNAcentral lists this ribosomal RNA (247 nucleotides) under uncultured Microbacterium sp. RNAcentral describes it as "partial 16S ribosomal RNA". It matches the Rfam family "Bacterial small subunit ribosomal RNA", at positions 796 to 1041 of the family's 1533-position model. Lineage: Bacteria; Bacillati; Actinomycetota; Actinomycetes; Micrococcales; Microbacteriaceae. The record is from RNAcentral.